GACGAACGCUGGCGGCGUGCCUAAUACAUGCAAGUCGAACGCAUUUUCUUUCACCGUAGCUUGCUACACCGAAAGAAAAUGAGUGGCGAACGGGUGAGUAACACGUGGGUAACCUGCCCAUCAGCGGGGGAUAACACUUGGAAACAGGUGCUAAUACCGCAUAAUUCCAUUUACCGCAUGGUAGAUGGGUGAAAGGCGCUUUUGCGUCACUGAUGGAUGGACCCGCGGUGCAUUAGCUAGUUGGUGGGGUAACGGCCUACCAAGGCUGCGAUGCAUAGCCGACCUGAGAGGGUGAUCGGCCACACUGGGACUGAGACACAGCCCAGACUCCUACGGGAGGCAGCAGGAGGGAAACUUCGGCAAGGGACGCAAGUCUGACCGAGCAACGCCGCGUGAGUGAAGAAGGUUUUCGGAUCGUAAAACUCUGUUGUUAGAGAAGAAAAAGGAUGAGAGUGGAAAGUUCAUCCCUUGACGGUAUCUAACCAGAAAGCCACGGCUAACUACGUG
RNAcentral lists this ribosomal RNA (507 nucleotides) under uncultured bacterium. RNAcentral's name for it is "partial 16S ribosomal RNA". It matches the Rfam family "Bacterial small subunit ribosomal RNA", at positions 28 to 507 of the family's 1533-position model. The record is from RNAcentral.